Gasterosteus aculeatus aculeatus (three-spined stickleback) is the source of this 3396-nucleotide long non-coding RNA. RefSeq lists it as uncharacterized. The record is from RefSeq and is a predicted model, not a curated record. NCBI's taxonomy places the organism in Eukaryota, Metazoa, Chordata, Actinopteri, Perciformes, Gasterosteidae.
CAGAGUCGAACCCAGGACCUUCUUGCUGUGAGGCGACAGUGCUGACCACCACGCCACCGUGCCGCGAGAGAAUGUCUGACUAUUAUAAUUGUAGAAAGAACCUCCAUGCUAACAGCUUGGUUACAAAUCGUACAUUUACCUCACUGUACACAUGAAUGGAACAAAAAAAUAGACUCAUUUAUAUGAAUGUUUUAACAUAGCACUACCAGUGUUCAGCCUCGAUGAAUUUUCUUAUGUUUGAAACGGGACGGUAAGGGAUUCAGAGAGGGAUUUGGUUUGUUGUGGUGUGCAACCUCACCACUAGAUUCCUCCAAUUCCUUCAAAUGCACUUUUGAAUUUGUUUUGGUUUUGUAGCUAACAUCUCCAUCGGGUGACUUUCUCCCAUCUCCAAGGAGAUGUGGAGUCCUCACCUGAAGGGAGUGUUUAUGGACGCUGUUCAAAUGUGGAAGAUCUCAGGCCCCUUUUCCACCAAGGCAGAACUGGUGCUAGUUCGGAGCCAGAGCCUACUUUCAAAUCGGUUCUUUGGUUUUCCACCACCAAAGCACCAGCUCCGAACCAGUAAAAUGGUUCUUAAGUAGCACCAUAUCAUUGCUGGUCUAGAAGAACCGCUUAUGUCAGCGGCUGGGGGCGGGGUUACCGUGACCAACAAGAUGAGAUAAACUUUGUGAUCCGCCAUUUUUUGAUAGCAGCUAAUCGAGCUUACAACAACACAAUGGACGCUAUUAGGCAAAAACAGCACUGGUCAGACGAGGAAACAAGCUGCUUUCUUGCACUCUGGUCCUCUUCAGAAGUCCAGAGUAAGUUAGAUGGGGCUUCGCAGACGAAACCGGUUUUGCAGCAGAUUCAGAGAGAGAUGGCUGUAGCUGGUUUUGACCAGAACCUCGUCCAGAUAACAAACAAACUAAAAAAACUAAAGAAAGACUGUGGGACCAAAAAAGGACCUCGCUCGAAGCGGCAAUGGGUGCCCACGCCAAAAUCCACAUUUCAACGUUCUCGACUGUGUUCUCGGCGAUAGGCCAGCAUGCCAGGUGACCGGGGCGGUGAACUUGGCCACAAUAAUGCUCGAGUCAAUGCUGGAUGAUUUGCCGCAGCAAAGUUGCACUGAUCACGGUAAGUUCAGUUUUUAUUUGACUUGCUCUUAUCUUUGCAUGUUUCUUAGCUGUUAAAGCACUGUUGUCUUGUGUUUAUUUUUCUAGAUCUGUCUGCCAUCAACGGCCGUGAAGACAACGUUGCAUUGCCGCCACCGGUGGGCUGCAGCUCUCCCGUGCCGUCGUGUAGCAGCUCUGGAGAAGCAUCUUCAGAACAGGGAAAAAUGAAGAGAGAUGGUACCUCGGAAAUCCUUCAAUAUCUGGAAAGAGCAGAUGAGAGGUUCCUGCAGCACAUCAAGGCAAUGGAUAAUGCCUUGUGUCAGGACAUGAGAGCGGACACACAAUCCUUGCUUGGACUCAUGGGGCGCAUGGUGGCCGUAUUGGAGGCACAAGUUAAAAAAUAAUUUUGCCGCUUUUCAUGUAAUUUUUUUAAUUCUUUUACAAUUGUUGUUACCUAUAGAACUUUAUUUUUUUUAUAAGAUUUUUGGUUUAAAUAAACCGGGCCAGUGUGAAAGGGUUGUUAUUGAGGAUGAUUGAUAAAUGAUUCACAAAAUGCAAGUUUUAGAGAUUACAUGGUUCAUUUAAUGGAUGAGAAUGUAAUACAAUUCAAAAGUUUUGAUUUCAAUAAACACAAACUGCAGUGUUACAAAAAUAUUGCAACAAAUAUAGCUUUGGUGUAUUCAAAGAAUCACUCGUUUCCUCUGUUAAAAUGCAUCAUUAAUGCAGCUCUGAUGUCAGCCCCUUCUGUGUUUGCCCGCUCAGGUAUUGUCUGAGCAGUAGGCUCUAUGUUUAGAGUCCUGUCUGGGUGCUCUUCACUGAAAUUAUCACCAUGUUCCUCACAAAUGUUAUGGAGGACACAGCAGGUCAGUGCCAUCCUCUUGCUCAGUUCCAGCUCGCAGUCGUUUCUUUUUAGGAGGCAUCACCAUUGUCCUUUUAAUCUCCCAAAAGACAUCUCCACAACCGAUCGUGCACUGCUCAGCCUGUAAUUGUAUGUGUGCUGUUCAGGGGUCAGUCUGCCAGUGUCGCAAAAGGGCUUCAUGAGCCUAUUCUGCAUGGGAUAUGCCGGAUCACCGAUCAGGUAAUGUCCAACAUCACAGCCAGAGAGACACUUUGUUUUGCCUUAGUAAUUUCCCGUCACUUAAGGCCUCCCACAAAUGUGACUGUCGUAGCACUCUGGCGUCAUGCACACUCCCUGGAUAGCCAACACAAACAUCCCAGAAUAGACCUUUGCCAUCCACAACUGCUUGCAGAACAAUAGAAUGCCAGCCUUUAUGAUUGAAAUAGUCUCGUGGAUAGUCCUCUGGUGCAAUUAUUGGAAUGUGGCUGCCAUCAAUUGCACCCACACACUGUGGAAUUCUUCAACAAUUAUUAAAGAAAGUGGCCAUUUCUAGCAACUGUUCAGCAUCAGGAAAUCUUAUGUGGAUGGGAAGGAACACUAUGAGCACUGUGUUGCAGAAUUCCUGAACACAAUUAAAUACAGUGCUGAGGCCUACUCUAAAAAGAUAACUGUCCUGUAUUCAACACCCGUGGCCAGUUUCCAGAUGGCAAUAGCCACAUGCUUUUGGAUUGGGACACACAAAGGGUAGUUUGUGUUUCUUCUCCAUAUGGCAUGAUUGACCUGACAGCAGAUGUACUCAAAUGAUCCUGGGGAUACGCAGAAAUUCUGCAUGAAUUGUAACGCGGUGAAAUCCGGAACAAUUGUGUCCCACCAGUGGUCAGAUUGGUCAAGAGUGGUCAAGGCAAGGCGGUGACCUCCGCCUUGCCUUGAGCUGCAAGAUUGCCUGUAAAGAUUUUAAAAAAUACAUACGUUUCAUCUAUGGGCAAUAGGGUAUACGUAUAUUUUCUAUCAAGUGUACAGUGCUGUAUAAAUACUAUAUAAAUAGUUGAGCUGUAGCUGUGAAGCGUUUAUUAAUUCAAAGUACCACUUAAAAGACAGGGCUACUUUAUUUAUAAGGUUUUUUUCUGUCUUUUUAGGUUCAUGCAUUGUGUUUUUCAGACAACGUACUGGUCAGGUGUUAGCAGAUUUUCUAGUUUUAAUACUGUGAGUGGUUUUUGCCUAUGACUCAGACAUACAUACAAGUGUACGAUGGCGUCGUUAUACUUAUUCAACCAAUGCUUAAUAAAAAAUGUUUAACCGCAAUGCGAUCGAUUAUCAGCUAAGUCGAUGUUAGGAGGUUAGCAACAUGCUAAGGCUAAAUAUGAAUCUCAGGCUAAAGUCGGCAUCUUAUUGUUAAAAAUAAAUGUUGUACAUACCGUUACUCUCGCUUGUAAUCUCCGUCUGUACAAAUAAAGGCGAGCCGCGAGAAUA